UUUGCUCAAGCACUGCGUGCCGCUGGCCUUGGGCCCGUUUAUGCCCCUCCUCACUAAGGCGGCUGAAGGCACGUGUGGAAGCCACCAGGUAGCAGCACUCCAUCCGCGCCCAACUGUGCGAAGCUUGCAGGUGCAAUGCGAGCACCGCACGGCCAUUGGCUACUGAGCUGCGCUGCGCGCGGUGAUUAGCAAGCUGAAGCGAGCAGUGGGACGGGCUGCCCUUCCCUUCGAGGCUGACCCUUCAGUCGAAGGAGGAAGCAGAAUUUCUGGCUGGCAGCGGCCCCGGGCUUCAGGUAGAGGAAGUUUCCUUGGUGCUAGUGUGGAAUUCUUCACUAAAGAGACAAAAUCUGCCAUGUUCUUCUCAUGAACACAGCAACUGCACAAGAUCAUUGCUCUAUAUCUGCAAGCAUCAGAUGUGUUUGUAAGUGAUGUGACUACCAGCAGCACCGGUUGAAAUUUCUGAGUACCACGCUGUAAGACCAGGCGUCAUGUGAGCGAUAGAGCAUCUGGGAACCCUGCGGACUGAGUGCCAGUGGUUUCUUUCAACCAGAGAACUGCAGUGUGCUUGCAGCACUGAGAAAUUUAUUCCCCUAGAUCCUCAUUAAGUAUUACGGUAACUUCUACUUUGCCUUUUAAAACUAAAAAUGGAGUGCAAAUCAUUCUUCUGAUCACUAUAGAAAUAGGCAAUUCCUAUAUUUGGAUUGGCGUGAAUUGAAAAUCCAAGCUAUUGGUCUAGCAGACUCAGAGUGAAGGACAGAAAAUACAAAUUAGAAUUACUGUGUUUCUUUCACAGGGAUUAGCCAUUUGUAAGAGAAAUUUCACGAUCUACAGUAGAUAUGGAGUACAGAUACAGAGUGUAUCUGUUGAAUUGUGGCAAUGUUUAAGUGCAAACAAAAUCUGUGAUAGAAAAGAAUAGUAUACUUCCAAGUGUUCAUGCUUUGCAAAUGGGCUAAAACAAUAAACAGAAUGCUAAAGUAAGAAUAAUAACCCCUGAAAGCAUACUGAGUUUGUAACUACCGACUGAAAUGUGCUGACUGUAUCUACUGGCCCAAUUUUGUUCUUAAUGUAUUCCCUGUUGCUUUACUUGUUUUGUUCCAUUGAAACAUCUAUGUCAUGGAGAAAAGUUGAAAAAUGUAAUGUGAACUGUAUGGUUCCAGCUGCUUGCUUAUUUUCUAAAAUGAUUUUUUUUUUAAGUUGAAGUUGAAUGCUUUUGUCUCUGCCUAUCACUGGUUGAUAUUUUUAUUCUAAGUGCAAAAUAAACUCCUGUUUGUUUAUUGUCAUUCUAGAACCAAGUGCUCUUAAUCAGAUUCAGAGCUCUCUGUAUGAUGCAA
Phasianus colchicus (ring-necked pheasant) is the source of this 1331-nucleotide long non-coding RNA. RefSeq lists it as uncharacterized. NCBI's taxonomy places the organism in Eukaryota, Metazoa, Chordata, Aves, Galliformes, Phasianidae. The record is from RefSeq and is a predicted model, not a curated record.